Molecule: ribosomal RNA, 479 nt
Filed under: uncultured bacterium
Lineage: Bacteria
Description: partial 16S ribosomal RNA
Rfam family: Bacterial small subunit ribosomal RNA
Source: RNAcentral
GAUGAACGCUAGCGGGAGGCCUAACACAUGCAAGCCGAGCGGUAGAGUCUCUUCGGAGCCUUGAGAGCGGCGCACGGGUGCGGAACACGUGUGCAACCUGCCUUUAUCUGGGGGAUAGCCUUUCGAAAGGAAGAUUAAUACCCCAUAAUAUACUGGAUGGCAUCAUCUGGUAUUGAAAACUCCGGUGGAUAGAGAUGGGCACGCGCAAGAUUAGAUAGUUGGUGAGGUAACGGCUCACCAAGUCAGCGAUCUUUAGGGGGCCUGAGAGGGUGAUCCCCCACACUGGUACUGAGACACGGACCAGACUCCUACGGGAGGCAGCAGUGAGGAAUAUUGGACAAUGGGUGAGAGCCUGAUCCAGCCAUCCCGCGUGAAGGACGACGGCCCUAUGGGUGGUAAACUUCUUUUGUAUAGGGAUAAACCUAGAUACGUGUAUCUAGCUGAAGGUACUAUACGAAUAAGCACCGGCUAACUCCGUG